Molecule: unclassified non-coding RNA, 2500 nt
Filed under: Hevea brasiliensis (rubber tree)
Lineage: Eukaryota; Viridiplantae; Streptophyta; Magnoliopsida; Malpighiales; Euphorbiaceae
Source: RNAcentral
ACGUUACAUAAUUUGUAUCCGAACUUAAUUUGGGUUCUCGAACUGAGGCACCCUUCUGUGGUGUUUUAUUUCCACACCAUUGUUGCCUCGUUUGAUUCCAAAGAAGUAGACCAUGAUUUACAAAUUCCGAAGUGCUGCUCGUGGUGCCAGAAUUACUGUGAGGAUCAAGGGCCGGAUUAGAUGUGCUAAUUGAUGAGAUGCUUCUCUGGGAGGGAAAUGUGCUAUUCUCCAUCUCGCAUGCACUACUGCUCCAAAAGUCGUCUCUUAAACUAGUUUUCCUCAAUCGUUUGCUCGGAACUUUCAGUCCUUUAGAUGGCUUAUCCACUGAAACAACAUGAGGAGAAUUCACACAGCAUCCAAGACAACUUCUGCUCCCAUGCAAGCCAAUAUGCGGUAUAUCCAAGAGGCAAUUGAUCUACAAAGUUGCAUUUACAAGCAAAUGGGUUUUCGUCAAAGCACAGAUUUCAACUGUAAAUUCAACACCAUACCCUAUCUGUGACGAUACAAAGGAGAGACAAUCACUUAACCUAUUCCCUUCGCUAUUAUUUUCCUCCACCGAUGACAAAUUAAUACCGUGGCACAACAACAAUCUUUCUUCUUCUAUUUUCUUUGUGCACGAAUGGUGGACAAGAACUGAACUUCAGCAAGUAUAUCCAUACAUAAAUAAUCAGAGACCCGCAACCUCAGUUUUUGUGCUGCAUUCUCCCACUUUCAGCACCAGCAUAAGGAUCGAUUGUCACAUUAAUAACAGCAGGCUUCCUAUCAGAAAAAGAUUCUGUAAGUGCAGAUUUAAGUUCAUCAGGUGUUCCAACAAGGUAUCCUUUUCCUCCAAAGGCUUCAAUUAGAAGAUGAUACGAUGCACCAGGAACAAAAGAUGUGGGUGCUGGAUCUUCUUUAUAAGGUCCAGUAAUUUCUUCGGGGUUCCUUCUGUCACCACCAUAAACUCCGCCAUUAUUGAAGACUAUAACCACAACUGGAAGCUGGUAGCGAACUAGGGUCUCAACUUCCAUGGCACUGAAGCCAAAUCCAGAGUCCCCUUCAACAGCUACUACAAGCCUUUCAGGUGAAGCAACAGCAGCUGCAAUGCAGUACCCCAGACCAACUCCCAUUGUCCCCCACGUCCCUGCAUCCAACCGGGUCCUUGGCUCGGUCUGAACUAAUACUGAUCGCCCCACAUCCAUAGUGUUGGCUCCUUCGGAGACAACAAUUGGAGCAGGACUGCCCAAUUGCAGUAUUGCAUCUCUAAUAAUUCUCAUUGGUGUCAUAAAAUUAAAUGGCACGACGUCCUUUGCCAGUUGUGCCUCCAUUUUCGAAACAUUUUCCUUGCUCUUCUUUGAUAAUGCCUCAACCCAAGGAUGAGACUUCCCUAAACAAAAAGGGUCAUCCUUAAUCUCCUUGUGUAUCAUCUCAACAACCUUAGUAGCAUCACCAACCAACCCUAAACAUGGUUUCCUAAGCUCAAUCUCCUCCUUAUCUACAUCAACUAAGAUAAACUUCACAUCCUUAGACCACUUUGGUGGCUCUCCGAAAUGCAAAAGCCAAUUAAGCCUUGCGCCAACUAUCAACGCCACAUCACACUUUCCAAUAGCCAGUGACCUUGCAGCAGUAGCAGCUAGCUCAUGAUUAUCAGGCAACAAACCCUUCCCCAUUGGUGUAGGCAAAAAGGGUAUUCCAGUGCGCUCAACUAAAUUCUUCAAAGCAUUUUCAGCUCUAGAAAAUGCAGCCCCUUUUCCAAACACAAUCAAAGGCCUCUCCGCUUUCCUCAACAAAGCAGCCGCCUUUUCAAUUUCUGAAUGUUGAACAAUGGGUUUAGCAAUGAGCUCUUUAUUCCUGCAACUCUCAGCAUCAUCGAUCAAUUUCUGUGCUUCAGUGUCACUAAUUGUCUGAUGAAGCACAUCAGUAGGAAGAUCCAAAUAACAACCACCUGGCCUGCCAGAGACUGCCCAAUCCAAAACACUGAAAACACAGCUUGGUAUUUUCGUUAUAUCAGUUGCUUUAGCUGAGUACUUAGAGAAGGGUUUCACAGCCUCAAUUUGAUCUAAUUCUUGAAAAUCGCCGCGACCCAUCUCUUUCUGAUCAGAUGACCCAGAAAUCAAAACCAUGGGCCAGGUAUUAACGGUUGCAUUGGAAAGCCCAGCGAGGCCAUGAACGCAACCUGGACCAGAGACGGUUAGAAGAAUUCCGGGUCGACCGGUAAGAUAACCAUAAGCAGAAGCAGCGUAACCGGCAGAUUGUUCAUUGUGGAAAGCAAUAAACCGGAUACCGAGUCCGACCGACCGGUUCGCAAGGGAAGUAACGGGUAUCCCGACAACCCCGAACAUCCGGUCGACGCCGGCACGUGCAAGGCACAUGGCAACGAAAGUGUUUCCGUCGACAGUAGAUAGGGUUUGGUGAUUGGAAUCAGACAUUUUAAGUGAGUUUUAGAAACAGAGGACUCUUUUCAGUGAUGGAUUUUACAGAGAAAGAUCAAUUGGAUAGUUUUAUCUAAAGAAAGGGCAGA